Molecule: long non-coding RNA, 302 nt
Organism: Helianthus annuus (common sunflower)
Lineage: Eukaryota; Viridiplantae; Streptophyta; Magnoliopsida; Asterales; Asteraceae
Exons: 3
Source: RefSeq, a predicted model, not a curated record
GUUCUGAUCGAUCAACAAGGGGAGCAAAGGAGGGGUUUAACCCUAGUUUAUCAAAAUCCACGUGAAUCAAGUGAAAUCUUGAGAAAAUCGAAAGUAUAAACAACGAAUUCUAAGCUCCAAGACUUGUUCUUCGAAGUGGAGUAAAGGAAGAGGGCUCAGGUUCUAAGAAGUCGGAAAGCUCACAAGACAAAGGUAAAUCCUCACUUUAGGCGAUUUGGAGAUUUGGAGCGAGCACGUGUCCACGUCAUGUUAUACCAAAUGCUUCCGCUAGUUUAUGUUCAUCUUUAUGGUCCAUGACUUGU